This 97-nucleotide small nucleolar RNA is filed under the name Carlito syrichta (Philippine tarsier). RNAcentral's name for it is "Small nucleolar RNA SNORD22 (ENSTSYG00000023819.2)". It matches the Rfam family "Small nucleolar RNA SNORD22". From Rfam's summary of the family: U22 is a member of the C/D class of snoRNA which contain the C (UGAUGA) and D (CUGA) box motifs. U22 is encoded within the U22 snoRNA host gene (UHG) in mammals and has also been identified in Xenopus. Lineage: Eukaryota; Metazoa; Chordata; Mammalia; Primates; Tarsiidae. The record is from Rfam by way of RNAcentral.
UUCCAGUGAAGAAACACUCACACAUCUUACUUCCUGUCCUAGUCCCAGAGCCUGUAAAGGUGAGCCCAAAUGUCUCUAAUCUAUAGACAUACAGAGA